Molecule: ribosomal RNA, 481 nt
Filed under: uncultured bacterium
Lineage: Bacteria
Description: bacterial SSU rRNA
Rfam family: Bacterial small subunit ribosomal RNA
Source: RNAcentral
AGAGUUUGAUCCUGGCUCAGAUUGAACGCUGGCGGAAUGCUUUACACAUGCAAGUCGAGCGGCAGCGCGGGGCAACCUGGCGGCGAGCGGCGAACGGGUGAGUAAUGCAUCGGAACAUGUCCAUGUCGUGGGGGAUAGCCCGGCGAAAGCCGGAUUAAUACCGCAUACGCCCGAGAGGGGAAAGUGGGGGACCGCAAGGCCUCACGCGAUUGGGUUGGCCGAUGUCCGAUUAGCUAGUUGGCGGGGUAAAGGCCCACCAAGGCGAUGAUCGGUAGCUGGUCUGAGAGGAUGAUCAGCCACACUGGGACUGAGACACGGCCCAGACUCCUACGGGAGGCAGCAGUGGGGAAUUUUGGACAAUGGGGGCAACCCUGAUCCAGCCAUUCCGCGUGAGUGAAGAAGGCCUUCGGGUUGUAAAGCUCUUUUGUCCGGAACGAAACGGCUAGCGUGAAUAUCGCUGGCUACUGACGUACCGGUAGAA